AGUUCACCGUCCCUGCAUUUCUCCACGUCAGCAUCCUGGAGGUCACAGCAGCAAGCGGUUGGAGGCGUUCUGGUGCCAAGCCCAUGUGCGAGGGAAGGAUGCGGCCGCGUGCAGGCUCUGAGAGGAGGCACAGCCUGCGGCCAUUGCUUGCAGCGUGCUCCGGCAGCUGGCUGGCCGCGACUCACCCACUUUUACCUGCUCCUUUGCAACCGUCUUGGCAGCUCAGCAAAAGCGUGGAGCCAAUCUUUUGGGCAAAGCAUAAUGGAUGCUGAGCUUGGAUUGCUUCUGGCCCAUCUGUGUGUGCAGAAAGACAGUCUUGUGGGACAAGUCAAGAUUGCAAACCUCUAUGGCUAGAUGCUCUCCAACAAAUUCAUCAAGGUCGAUGAGAAUGAGGAACUUCUAAGCGGGGCACAGCAGUCUGGGGACAGGC
Molecule: long non-coding RNA, 430 nt
Organism: Oxyura jamaicensis (ruddy duck)
Lineage: Eukaryota; Metazoa; Chordata; Aves; Anseriformes; Anatidae
Exons: 3
Source: RefSeq, a predicted model, not a curated record